GUAGGUAUAGUUUAACAUAAAACAUUAGAUUGUGAUUCUAAAAAUAGAAGUUAAAAUCCUCUUAUCUACC
Molecule: transfer RNA, 70 nt
Filed under: Percilia gillissi
Lineage: Eukaryota; Metazoa; Chordata; Actinopteri; Centrarchiformes; Percichthyidae
Description: tRNA-His
Rfam family: tRNA
About the family: Transfer RNA (tRNA) molecules are approximately 80 nucleotides in length. Their secondary structure includes four short double-helical elements and three loops (D, anti-codon, and T loops).
Source: RNAcentral